RNAcentral lists this ribosomal RNA (375 nucleotides) under uncultured organism. RNAcentral's name for it is "partial 16S ribosomal RNA". It matches the Rfam family "Bacterial small subunit ribosomal RNA", at positions 527 to 896 of the family's 1533-position model. The record is from RNAcentral.
GUAGGGGCCAAACGUUUGUCCGGAUUUAUUGGGCGUAAAGGGCUCGUAGGCGGUUCAACAAGUCGGUCGUGAAAACCCGGGGCUCAACCCCGGGACGCCGGUCGAAACUGUUGUGACUAGUGUCCGGUAGAGGUGAGUGGAAUUCUCGGUGUAGCGGUGGAAUGCGCAGAUAUCGAGAGGAACACCAGUUGCGAAGGCGGCUCACUGGGCCGGUACAGACGCUAAGGAGCGAAAGCAUGGGGAGCAAACAGGAUUAGAUACCCUGGUAGUCCAUGCCGUAAACGGUGAACACUAGGUGUGGCGGAUCAUUUGACGUCUGCCGUACCGUAGCUAACGCGUUAAGUGUUCCGCCUGGGGAGUACGGCCGCAAGGCUA